ACCUACGGGAGGCUGCAGUCGAGAAUCUUUUGCAAUGCGCGAAAGCGUGACAAAGCAAUGCCGCGUGCCGGAUGAAGGUCUUCGGAUUGUAAACGGCUGUCACCCGUGACGAAACAUGACGGUAACGGGGGAGGAAGCCACGGCUAACUACGUGCCAGCAGCCGCGGUAAUACGUAGGUGGCGAGCGUUGUUCGGAUUUAUUGGGCGUAAAGGGUUCGUAGGUGGUUCGCUAAGUCUGACGUGAAAUCCCGUGGCUCAACCACGGAACUGCGUUGGAGACUGGCGGACUUGAGUAUUGGAGAGGUAAGCGGAAUACCAGGUGUAGCGGUGGAAUGCGUAGAUAUCUGGGAGAACACCGAGAGCGAAGGCAGCUUGCUGGACAAUAACUGACACUGAGGAACGAAAGCGUGGGGAGCAAACAGGAUUAGAUACCCUGGUAGUC
RNAcentral lists this ribosomal RNA (442 nucleotides) under uncultured Victivallaceae bacterium. Its description in RNAcentral is "bacterial SSU rRNA". It matches the Rfam family "Bacterial small subunit ribosomal RNA", at positions 337 to 795 of the family's 1533-position model. The record is from RNAcentral. Lineage: Bacteria; Pseudomonadati; Lentisphaerota; Lentisphaeria; Victivallales; Victivallaceae.